Molecule: ribosomal RNA, 503 nt
Filed under: uncultured bacterium
Lineage: Bacteria
Description: bacterial SSU rRNA
Rfam family: Bacterial small subunit ribosomal RNA
Source: RNAcentral
GGCUCAGGAUGAACGCUAGCGGCAGGCUUAACACAUGCAAGUCGAGGGGCAUCGGGAGUAGCAAUACUUGCCGGCGACCGGCGCAAGGGUGCGUAACGCGUGAGCAACAUGCCCGUAUCAGGGGGAUAAUCCAUGGAAACGUGGUCUAAUACCCCAUAGUAAUUAUGUAAGGCAUCUUAUAUAAUUUAAAGCUUUGGUGGAUACGGAUUGGCUCGCGUGACAUUAGCUGGAUGGUAAGGUAACGGCUUACCAUGGCUACGAUGUCUAGGGGUUCUGAGAGGAAGGUCCCCCACACUGGAACUGAGACACGGUCCAGACUCCUACGGGAGGCAGCAGUGAGGAAUAUUGGACAAUGGAUGGAAAUCUGAUCCAGCCAUGCCGCGUGCAAGGAAGACGGCCCUAUGGGUUGUAAACUGCUUUUGUAUGGGAGCAAUAAGGGCUACGUGUAGUCCGAUGAGAGUACCAUACGAAUAAGCACCGGCUAACUCCGUGCCAGCCGCUGC